RNAcentral lists this unclassified non-coding RNA (222 nucleotides) under uncultured Gammaproteobacteria bacterium. Its description in RNAcentral is "contains 16S-23S intergenic spacer region". The record is from RNAcentral. Lineage: Bacteria; Pseudomonadati; Pseudomonadota; Gammaproteobacteria.
UCCGGUUUGUCACCGGCAGUCUCAUUAGAGUGCCCAACUGAAUGUGGCAACUAAUGACAAGGGUUGCGCUCGUUGCGGGACUUAACCCAACAUCUCACGACACGAGCUGACGACAGCCAUGCAGCACCUGUGUCCCGGUUCCCUUUCGGGCACCAAGGCAUCUCUGCCAAGUUCCGGGCAUGUCAAGGGUAGGUAAGGUGGGGAUGACGUCAGUGCUUGCCU